This 77-nucleotide transfer RNA is filed under the name Candidatus Daviesbacteria bacterium. RNAcentral's name for it is "tRNA-Asp". It matches the Rfam family "tRNA". Rfam says of the family: Transfer RNA (tRNA) molecules are approximately 80 nucleotides in length. Their secondary structure includes four short double-helical elements and three loops (D, anti-codon, and T loops). Lineage: Bacteria; Candidatus Daviesiibacteriota. The record is from RNAcentral.
GGGGCCGUAGCUCAAUUGGUUAGAGCGCCUGAUUGUCAAUCAGGAGGUCGCGGGUUCAAGUCCCGUCGGUCCCGCCA